RNAcentral lists this long non-coding RNA (1016 nucleotides) under Numida meleagris (helmeted guineafowl). RNAcentral describes it as "lncRNA (ENSNMEG00000018743.1)". The record is from RNAcentral. Lineage: Eukaryota; Metazoa; Chordata; Aves; Galliformes; Numididae.
AUGCCCAGCUGUAGGUAUGGUUUACUAGCUGAAAGUCACAUGCGAGUGGCACACAGUAUCAUCACAACCACAGGCAGUUCCUGCCUCUCUCACAAGUUCACUUGCUUCCUGCCUGCCUCCAGUAAUGGUGCACAAUGCCGCAAAGAAAGAGCGUACACCAGUGCAGAUAGCAAGAGCUCCAGCCCAGGAUACAUUCUGCUACCACCCUUUUUAAUUACUGUUUGGAGUUCAAGGCUGCACAGAUUACCUCCACCCACACAAGGCUCAGAGAGAUGCUGCAUAACCUGACAAGCUACGUUACAGAACUGCUGGACAAAUGAAAGUCAGCUGGAUGUUUUAAAACUUAAAAUCUUGUCUUCUACUAAAUGAGUGGGAAACACGCUGAAACCACAAUCAACUUUUCCUGUGGUUGACAAUUGCAAAAGCCCUCUUUCUGCUCCUCACUAUUGACUCACACACCAUUGCAUCCCCAAGAGACUGCGUACUCUAAAACAAGGAAUGAGUAAUCAGGAAAAAGAUGUUUCCCCUCUUCAAAGUAUUUACUAAAGCAUUCAUCUUUUCAAAACUUCCAAACUAAUAUUUGUUUGGGUUAUAAAACUUAAGGCAACAAUAUUGACAGUGUCCAUGUAAUCUAAACACAUACAAUGUAAAUACACCUUCAAAAAAAACAGAUCAGCUCAUGGAUAUUUCUUCCAACAUGGAGCAAGGUUGGUUUUCUCACUUUAGUUGUCUGAGAGCAGAAUAACACCAAAGCCCAGAAAGAAAUGUCUGAUUAUUAGACUUGUCUUGAAGGAGAAGACACAUAUUCUUGGGAUGGGACAUUUUUUAACCUAUUCAAGACAUCUUUUUAGUGAGUUGAUACCACAAGAACUGGCAACGAUAUCAGAAAAGGCAUACUGAAGGGCACACCUGAAAAAUAACGCACUGGGUCUGACUGCCAUUUUCUUCACUGCUGAAGAAAGCAGCAAAAUAGUAGUUGUAAUAAAACAAAUUUUGAAGAGAAAUAUAUUAUGAUG